This 338-nucleotide ribosomal RNA is filed under the name uncultured bacterium. RNAcentral's name for it is "bacterial SSU rRNA". It matches the Rfam family "Bacterial small subunit ribosomal RNA", at positions 71 to 422 of the family's 1533-position model. The record is from RNAcentral.
AAGUGGUAGCAAUACCAUGAGUAAAGUGGCGCACGGGUGAGUAACACGUGACUAACCUACCCUUGAGUGGGGGAUAACUGAGGGAAACCUUAGCUAAUACCGCAUAAUACCCACGGGUCAAAGGAGCAAUUCGCUCGAGGAGGGGGUCGCGGCCGAUUAGUUAGUUGGCGGGGUAAUGGCCCACCAAGACGAUGAUCGGUAUCCGGCCUGAGAGGGCGCACGGACACACUGGAACUGAAACACGGUCCAGACUCCUACGGGAGGCAGCAGUGGGGAAUUUUGCGCAAUGGGGGAAACCCUGACGCAGCAACGCCGCGUGGAGGAUGAAGUCCUUCGGG